CCAAUAGCGUAUAUUAAAGUUGCUGCAGUUAAAAAGCUCGUAGUUGAAUUUCGGGACCAAUAUGUCGGUCGUGCCUCGGUACGUACUGGCAUCGUUGGUUUCUCCCUUCUGACGAACCAUGAUGUCAUUUAUUUGGUGUCGUGGGGAAUCAGGACUGUUACUUUGAAAAAAUUAUUAGAGUGUUUAAAGCAGGCUCACGCUUGAAUACAUUAGCAUGGAAUAAUGAAAUAGGACGUUUGAUUCUAUUUUGUUGGUUUCUAGGAUCGACGUAAUGAUUAAUAGGGAUAGUUGGGGGCAUUAGUAUUCAAUUGUCAGAGGUGAAAUUCUUGGAUUUAUUGAAGACUAACUACUGCGAAAGCAUUUGCCAAGGAUGUUUUCAUUAAUCAAGAACGAAAGUUAGGGGAUCGAAGACGAUCAGAUACCGUCGUAGUCUUAACCAUAAACUAUGCCGACUAGGGAUCGGAUGAUGUUAAUUUUUUAAUGACUCAUUCGGCGCCUUACG
This 502-nucleotide ribosomal RNA is filed under the name uncultured Glomeromycotina. RNAcentral describes it as "partial small subunit ribosomal RNA". It matches the Rfam family "Eukaryotic small subunit ribosomal RNA", at positions 591 to 1092 of the family's 1831-position model. The record is from RNAcentral. Lineage: Eukaryota; Fungi; Glomeromycota.